GAUGAACGCUGGCGGCGUGCCUAAUACAUGCAAGUCGAGCGAACGGACGAGAAGCUUGCUUUUCUGAUGUUAGCGGCGGACGGGUGAGUAACACGUGGAUAACCUACCUAUAAGACUGGGAUAACUUCGGGAAACCGGAGCUAAUACCGGAUAAUAUUUUGAACCGCAUGGUUCAAAAGUGAAAGACGGACUUGCUGUCACUUAUAGAUGGAUCCGCGCUGCAUUAGCUAGUUGGUAAGGUAACGGCUUACCAAGGCAACGAUGCAUAGCCGACCUGAGAGGGUGAUCGGCCACACUGGAACUGAGACACGGUCCAGACUCCUACGGGAGGCAGCAGUAGGGAAUCUUCCGCAAUGGGCGAAAGCCUGACGGAGCAACGCCGCGUGAGUGAUGAAAGUCUUCGGAUCGUAAAACUCUGUUAUUAGGGAAGAACAUAUGUGCAAGUAACUGUGCACAUCUUGACGGUACCUAAUCAGAAAGCCACGGCUAACUACGUG
Molecule: ribosomal RNA, 497 nt
Filed under: uncultured bacterium
Lineage: Bacteria
Description: partial 16S ribosomal RNA
Rfam family: Bacterial small subunit ribosomal RNA
Source: RNAcentral